GUAGCGAAAUUCCUUGUCGGGUAAGUUCCGACCUGCACGAAUGGCGUAACGACUUCCCCACUGUCUCGACCAGGAGCUCGGCGAAAUUGCAGUACGAGUAAAGAUGCUCGUUAAGCGCAGAAGGACGAAAAGACCCCGGGACCUUUACUAUACCUUGGUAUUGGCAUUAGGCGCGGAUUGUGUAGCAUAGGCGGGAGGCUUCGAAGCGUGGGCGCCAGCCCGUGUGGAGCCGCAAGGUGAAAUACCGCUCUGUUCUCGUUUGAUGUCUAACCUCGAACAGUCAUCCUGUUCAGGGACAGUGCCUGGCGGGUAGUUCAACUGGGGCGGUUGCCUCCCAAAGAGUAACGGAGGCGCUCAAAGGUCCGCUCAGCCCGGUUGGCAAUCGGGUGUCGAGUGUAAUCGCACAAGCGGGCUUGACUGCGAGAUCGACGGAUCGAGCAGGGACGAAAGUCGGAGAUAGUGAUCCGGUGCCGGCGCACGGGCGCGGCAUCGCUCAACGGAUAAAAGGUACCCCGGGGAUAACAGGCUGAUCAUUCCCAAGAGUCCAUAUCGACGGGAUGGUUUGGCACCUCGAUGUCGGCUCGUCGCAUCCUGGGGCUGGAGCAGGUCCCAAGGGUUCGGCUGUUCGCCGAUCAAAGCGGCACGCGAGCUGGGUUCAGAACGUCGUGAGACAGUUUGGUCUCUAUCCUCUGCGCUCGUUGGAAUCCUGAGGAGGCCUGCCCAUAGUACGAGAGGACCUGGGUGGACGAACCUCUGGUAUGCCGGUUGUCGCGCCAGCGGCACGGCCGGUUGGCUACGUUCGGAAGGGAUAACCGCUGAAAGCAUCUAAGCGGGAAGCCUUCUCCAAGAUAAGGAUUCCAUGCGGCCCCGAGCCGCUGAAGACCCCAUGCAGAACACGUGGUUGAUAGGCCGGACGUGGAAGCCCCGCGAGGGGUGGAGCCGACCGGUACUAAUGGUCGAGAGGCAACCCAC
RNAcentral lists this ribosomal RNA (972 nucleotides) under human gut metagenome. RNAcentral's name for it is "bacterial LSU rRNA". It matches the Rfam family "Bacterial large subunit ribosomal RNA", at positions 1956 to 2925 of the family's 2925-position model. The record is from RNAcentral.